GCCCCCGUAGUUCAAUGGAUAGAACGCAAGCCUUCUAAGCUUGAUAUGUAAGUUCGAUUCUUACCGGGGGUACCA
Molecule: transfer RNA, 75 nt
Filed under: Parcubacteria group bacterium
Lineage: Bacteria
Description: tRNA-Arg
Rfam family: tRNA
About the family: Transfer RNA (tRNA) molecules are approximately 80 nucleotides in length.
Source: RNAcentral